GAUGAACGCUGGCGGCGUGCCUAAUACAUGCAAGUCGAGCGAACAGACGAGGAGCUUGCUCCUUUGACGUUAGCGGCGGACGGGUGAGUAACACGUGGGUAACCUACCUAUAAGACUGGGAUAACUUCGGGAAACCGGAGCUAAUACCGGAUCAGAUUUCGAACCUCAUGGUUCUAUAGUGAACGAUGGCUUUGCUAUCACUUAUAGAUGGACCUGCGCCGUAUGAGCUAGUUGGUAAGGUAACGGCUUACCAAGGCAACGAUACGUAGCUGACCUGAGAGGGUGAUCGGCCACACUGGAACUGAGACACGGUCCAGACUCCUACGGGAGGCAGCAGUAGGGAAUCUUGCGCAAUGGGCGAAAGCCUGACGGAGCAACGCCGCGUGAGUGAAGAAGGUCUUCGGAUCGUAAAACUCUGUUAUUAGGGAAGAACAACCGUGUAUGUAACUGUGCACGUCUUGACGGUACCUAAACAAAAAGCCACGGCUAACUACGUG
This 497-nucleotide ribosomal RNA is filed under the name uncultured bacterium. RNAcentral describes it as "partial 16S ribosomal RNA". It matches the Rfam family "Bacterial small subunit ribosomal RNA", at positions 28 to 507 of the family's 1533-position model. The record is from RNAcentral.